GGCUUGCUAGCUCAGUCGGUUAGAGCGUCGUGCUAAUAACGCGAAGGUCGUAGGUUCGAUCCCUGCGCAGGCCA
This 74-nucleotide transfer RNA is filed under the name Rhipicephalus microplus (southern cattle tick). RNAcentral's name for it is "tRNA-Ile". It matches the Rfam family "tRNA". Rfam says of the family: Transfer RNA (tRNA) molecules are approximately 80 nucleotides in length. Their secondary structure includes four short double-helical elements and three loops (D, anti-codon, and T loops). Further hydrogen bonds mediate the characteristic L-shaped molecular structure. tRNAs have two regions of fundamental functional importance: the anti-codon, which is responsible for specific mRNA codon recognition, and the 3' end, to which the tRNAs corresponding amino acid is attached (by aminoacyl-tRNA synthetases). tRNAs cope with the degeneracy of the genetic code in two manners: having more than one tRNA (with a specific anti-codon) for a particular amino acid; and 'wobble' base-pairing, i.e. permitting non-standard base-pairing at the 3rd anti-codon position. Lineage: Eukaryota; Metazoa; Arthropoda; Arachnida; Ixodida; Ixodidae. The record is from Rfam by way of RNAcentral. RNAcentral also lists the same sequence under 1 other name.